CGAUAUCGACGUAGUUUGAUCAGUGCUCAGAUCACGCUGGCGGCGUGCCUCAGACAUGCAAGUCGAACGAUUAAAGCUCUCUUCGGAGAGUGUAUAGAGUGGCGCACGGGUGAGUAACACGUAAGUAAUCUACCCUCGAGUGGGGAAUAACAACCGGAAACGGUUGCUAAUACCGCAUAAUGCAGCGGCACCGCAAGGUGACAGUUGUUAAAGAUUUAUCGCUUGAGGAGGAGCUUGCGGCAGAUUAGCUAGUUGGUAGGGUAACGGCUUACCAAGGCUACGAUCUGUAACCGGUCUAAGAGGACGGUCGGUCACACUGACACUGAAUAACGGGUCAGACUCCUACGGGAGGCAGCAGUCGGGAAUUUGGGCAAUGGGCGAAAGCCUGACCCAGCAACGCCGCGUGAAGGAUGAAGUAUUUCGGUAUGUAAACUUCGAAAGAAUAGGAAGAAUUAAUGACGGUACUAUUUAUAAGGUCCGGCUAACUACGUG
Molecule: ribosomal RNA, 492 nt
Filed under: uncultured bacterium
Lineage: Bacteria
Description: bacterial SSU rRNA
Rfam family: Bacterial small subunit ribosomal RNA
Source: RNAcentral